AGAAUCUUGGGCAAUGCGCGAAAGCGUGACCCAGCAAUGCCGCGUGCGCGAUGAAGGUCUUCGGAUUGUAAAGCGCUGUCAACCGGGACGAAAAAUGACGGUACCGGUGGAGGAAGCCACGGCUAACUACGUGCCAGCAGCCGCGGUAAUACGUAGGUGGCGAGCGUUGUUCGGAUUUAUUGGGCGUAAAGGGUCUGUAGGAGGUUCGUUAAAUGCGGGGUGAAAUCCGGGGGCUCAACUCCCGAACUGCCCUGUAGACUGAUGGACUAGGGUACUGGAGAGGUAAGCGGAAUACCAAGUGUAGCGGUGGAAUGCGUAGAUAUUUGGUAGAACACCGAGAGCGAAGGCAGCUUACUGGACUUUGACCGACUCUGAAAGACGAAAGCGUGGGGAGCAAACA
RNAcentral lists this ribosomal RNA (400 nucleotides) under uncultured Victivallis sp. RNAcentral's name for it is "bacterial SSU rRNA". It matches the Rfam family "Bacterial small subunit ribosomal RNA", at positions 358 to 774 of the family's 1533-position model. The record is from RNAcentral. Lineage: Bacteria; Pseudomonadati; Lentisphaerota; Lentisphaeria; Victivallales; Victivallaceae.